Molecule: long non-coding RNA, 1108 nt
Organism: Hirundo rustica (Barn swallow)
Lineage: Eukaryota; Metazoa; Chordata; Aves; Passeriformes; Hirundinidae
Exons: 7
Source: RefSeq, a predicted model, not a curated record
CAGAAUCUUUUGAGCCAGGUUAAAAAGUUUGUUGUUGCAGACAGAAAUGUUCUUUUCUUGGAUUAGGCAUUUGCAUGGGAAAUGGAAUGUGGAGGUCCCGGCUCAACUUUCUGUGCAACCACAUGUGAACAAAUUCAUGCUGUGGCCCCUUGUUGCCCUUUACCCUACUUUGCUUGGUUUAAAGCCUGUGGGAGGUGGUUGACAUCUUCUGUCUUCUGUAGGGACAUCAGCAUGUAUGAUCCAAGACCAGGGAUUCUGGACAUCACCACAGUAAUCAUGAUAAAGAAGGGGCGUAAGGAGCACCCCGGCAGCACAACAGAGAGAAACCUCCCAGGGUUCAGCUGAGGGGUGGAUGUGACAGCAACGGGCUCACUCUGAAAGCAAUGCACCUUCCCAGUGCACCUGUCAAGAGCCCACUCUGGAACAGAAGAUCAGAGCAAACGGGGACUGAGGAGAACAAAAGCUGACCCAAACCUUUGACCUAAAUUUAACAUAAAGCCAAAUGAAACCUUAGAGGUGAACACUGUGUGGUCUGCACUAGGAAUAAUGAGCCAAACUCAAUCCUCAACUGGACCUGGAGUGAGGCAGUGGCUUCUAAGCUCCCCACCAGUUACAGCAGUGCAAAGCUCUGUGUCAGAAGAUGCUGCAUCAGGAUUUGUACAAGGCUUUGACAAGAGCAUUUCCCAUUCCAUGAGCUGAGAGGGACCCGUACAAGAUGGGUCUGUUGCUCAGUUAUGGGGAAGGGCUACAUGAUGAGGAACAGAAGUUCUGUGUCCAUGCAACUUGUACAGCAUUAAGUCUCAAGAGCAAUCUUCUAUUAGAGCACUGUCACAAGGACAUGCCCAGAGACAGAUGGAAAAUGAAAUGUAAGUGAUGCAGGGGAGCCAAGCCUGCUGUUAAUAACCCAGCCCGUUUCAGACAUACUUGUCCCCCCAUCAUCCUUCUGAAGUAUUUUAACAGAACCCCUAUGCAAAGGGAGACCCUCAUAAGAUGCCUACUCCUGCCCUUCCUGAGACCACCAUGUUCAUUUUUCUUCAAAACAUUCAGCUGUGGCAGCUUUUGGCUUUUAAUCUGAUUUAUGACCCUUUGAGAUGCCGUUGAGGUUAUA